CACUGGUACGGUCGCUCUCCUGUGUGCGUUCUGAGGUGGACUCGGAGGUCGUAUUCCCGGGUGUAAGUCUUGCCACACUCAGGGCAGAGAUAGUGUUUUUCUCCCCUGUGGGACAUGGUGGGUUUCUGUGGUGCCGAGAUGUGGUGGGAUGUUCCCUCCCUCUGUGGUGCCAGGAGGUGGUGGGUUUGUGGUGCCGGUAGGUUUUGGGUUCCCUCUCUCUGUGGUGCCGGGAGGUGGUGGGUUUGUGGUGCCGGUAGGUUUUGGGUUCCCUCUCUCUGUGGUGCCGGGAGGUGGUGGGUUUGUGGUGCCGGUAGGUUUUGGGUUCCCUCUCUCUGUGGUGCCGGGAGGUGGUGGGUUUGUGGUGCCGGUAGGUUUUGGGUUCCCUCUCUCUGUGGUGCCGGGAGGUGGUGGGUUUGUGGUGCCGGUAGGUUUUGGGUUCCCUCUCUCUGUGGUGCCGGGAGGUGGUGGGUUUGUGGUGCCGGUAGGUUUUGGGUUCCCUCCUCGUCAUGCUGAUGGAGGCAGCGUUGUGGCCUCCCAGCUUUACGUCUGUUGUCCCGAGGUUGUUCAGAGGGAGUCUCCAUGUCAGCCACUAAACUGGGAUCCACUCCUGU
Long non-coding RNA from Oncorhynchus keta (chum salmon), 611 nucleotides. RefSeq lists it as uncharacterized. The record is from RefSeq and is a predicted model, not a curated record. The transcript has 4 exons. Lineage: Eukaryota; Metazoa; Chordata; Actinopteri; Salmoniformes; Salmonidae.